Non-coding RNA from Pelobates cultripes (western spadefoot toad), 69 nucleotides. Lineage: Eukaryota; Metazoa; Chordata; Amphibia; Anura; Pelobatidae. The record is from the annotation of a GenBank genome assembly.
CCCCCAGAUGUUGCUGAACUACAACUCUCAUAAGUAUCAUGGAAGUUGUAGUUCAGCAACAUCUGAGGG